UCGGAUGUGGUGUAGGGAACACGGCCUCUCCAAAUUACAUGACAGCAAUCUAGUAAAGUCGGAAGCAGCUCCGGGUUCGACUCCCGGCGUCUGAA
This is a non-coding RNA of Mycena vulgaris, 95 nucleotides long. NCBI's taxonomy places the organism in Eukaryota, Fungi, Basidiomycota, Agaricomycetes, Agaricales, Mycenaceae. The record is from the annotation of a GenBank genome assembly.